Molecule: long non-coding RNA, 967 nt
Organism: Mustela erminea (ermine)
Lineage: Eukaryota; Metazoa; Chordata; Mammalia; Carnivora; Mustelidae
Exons: 3
Source: RefSeq, a predicted model, not a curated record
GCUCCCACAGCUAAGAACACACAGAACUUGACCGUGCUCCUCUGUCCCUGGAGCCUGGUCUCUGCGAUGCCAGGGUACUCAUCCUGGCGGUUUCCCUCCCACCACCCCUGAGAGCCCAGGUCCCCAGCCUGGCAGCAGGGCAUGGACAGAACAGAACAGAACACACCAAUUGCCUCUGGAGAAUGUCCCCAGCCCAAGACGAAAGCGGCGGGCCAAGGAGACCAGCUGUCUGCAGAGAAGACAGUAGCCCAAGGAAUGUACCGAGGAAGGGUGAGGGAAGGACAAAAUCCUCCAGGAGGAUCAGCAUUCCCCUUGAAUCUUGAAAAAAAGGUCAGGCCUCUGUAUUUUUGUCACAACUGAGAGACCACAAGAUGACUGGGAAAAGAUCCGGCGUGGACAAGAGGCGUCUAGAAAUUUCGCGACGCUUCUCAGCCUCCGUGAGUCUUGCAAAUAUUAAUUUAACCUGCUGGGUCUGGACUAGGUCUAGAAAUGUAUUCCUUGGCAACUUAAUGAGCAAGCCGGGAAAGCCUUCCCAAGAUGAUUUAGAAUGGGAGACUUCCCGAUCCCUUGAGCGAUUCAGCUAGCACUUGACCUCAGUGUCCAGAACCAUAACAAAUUCUGAACUUUGUGAAUUUGUUGUGGAAAAGAGCAAAUUUUACCAACCAGAAUGUCAACCUCAGUCAAAGAUCUGGUGACACUGGGAUUCACAAAUGCAUGCUGCCUGAGCCUCAGGAGUCCAAGGGACCAACUCACCCAGUGCUUGCGGUUUGAGGACGACGCCUACCAAGACCUCCCCCAGACAACCACUGUUGAGCAUCAUCGCUACAAAGAGCUGGUCUUCCUCAGGUUUCCAUCACUACCUGCCGCGGUCAGUCAGGCUGAGGAAGCAGAAGUCCACGAGAGAAGGACCCCUUUCCUAUUGGACCACUGGAGAGAUCCUUUUAUUGUUACCAUGCUGUGAAUAAAU